This 420-nucleotide ribosomal RNA is filed under the name uncultured bacterium. RNAcentral's name for it is "partial 16S ribosomal RNA". It matches the Rfam family "Bacterial small subunit ribosomal RNA", at positions 361 to 773 of the family's 1533-position model. The record is from RNAcentral.
AUAUUUGACAAUGGGGGCAACCCUGAUCCAGCCAUGCCGCGUGUGUGAAGAAGGUNUUNNGAUUGNANAGCACUUUAAGUUGGNNNNNAGGGCUUUAGGUUAAUACCCUUAAGUUUUGACGUUACCAACAGAAUAAGCACCUGCUAACUCUGUGCCCGCAGCCGCGGUAAUACAGAGGGUGCAAGCGGUAUUCUGAAUUACUGGGCUUAAAGCGCGCGUAGGUGGUUCAGUAAGAUGGGUGUGAAAUCCCCGGGCUUAACCUGGGAACUGCUUUCAUAACUGCUGAGCUAGAGUACGGUAGAGGGUAGUGGAAUUUCCUGUGUAGCGGUGAAAUGCGUAGAUAUAGGAAGGAACACCAGUGGCGAAGGCGACUACCUGGACUGAUACUGACACUGAGGUGCGAAAGCGUGGGGAGCAAAC